This 655-nucleotide long non-coding RNA is filed under the name Mytilus galloprovincialis (Mediterranean mussel). The record is from RNAcentral. Lineage: Eukaryota; Metazoa; Mollusca; Bivalvia; Mytilida; Mytilidae.
ACUUAACAUUAUCGAAUAAGUUCAAUGGGUUGACUACAAUUUUAUUCUGUUUAUGUCGCUUAAAUGUUGAAUUGUCAUGAAGUAUGUUUUAUCACAUUUUGGAGGUCCUUUUUUAAGCUCUGGACGAUCUUUAUGAAGUAAAAAAACUUUCCAUUGAAGUUGAUUUCAUUUCUCGCAAAUCGAUUAUAAAAUCUAGAUUUACGCAUUGAAACCAAAAAACCAAACAGUAGAUUUGGAAAUUUUCAGUUUUAUUAUUAUUACAGUAUAAACUAUUUACUAUAUAGAUUAUCGAUCUCUUCCUUGUUGUAAACCUAUUUGAAAUAUGUUAUUGCACAUUAAAUAAAGGGCAAAACAGGCUAUAGUCCGGUCUUUAAAAUUUUGUAUACUUGUUGACUAAUUUUACAAUUGUACAUAGAAACUUUUCAUUCCUUUAAAGCAUUCCUUUAAAGCUGUGGCAUUUUUUGUCGCCUUAGUUUUGUUUUAACUCUUUAUUCUUUCGUUUCGUGUUGAAGUAACUUUUGUUUUAAAGAUUUUAGUUAUUUUUUUCUUUACUGACCAAAACAAAAACACACUUUAAAAUUUAUUACUAGUAAGUUUAUGCAAUAUAAUUUACUUUUCUGUUCUUACUAAGGAUAAUGAGUGUUCUUUUAUAUAC